GACAGAGGUGCCGAGCGUUAGGCGGAAUCACUGGGCUUAAAGCGUGUGUAGGCGGAUCGUUAAGUACCUUGUGAAAUCCCACGGCUCAACCGUGGAACUGCUGGGUAUACUGGCGAUCUUGAGCCACCUAGGGGCAACUGGAACAAGCGGUGGAGCGGUGAAAUGCGUAGAUAUCGCUUGGAACGCCAACGGUGAAAACAGGUUGCUGGGGGUGUGCUGACGCUGAGACACGAAAGCCAGGGGAGCGAACGGG
This 253-nucleotide ribosomal RNA is filed under the name uncultured bacterium. Its description in RNAcentral is "partial 16S ribosomal RNA". It matches the Rfam family "Bacterial small subunit ribosomal RNA", at positions 524 to 776 of the family's 1533-position model. The record is from RNAcentral.